RNAcentral lists this ribosomal RNA (468 nucleotides) under uncultured bacterium. RNAcentral's name for it is "partial 16S ribosomal RNA". It matches the Rfam family "Bacterial small subunit ribosomal RNA", at positions 28 to 507 of the family's 1533-position model. The record is from RNAcentral.
GACGAACGCUGGCGGCGUGCUUAACACAUGCAAGUCGAACGGAAAGGCACUGCUUUUGUGGGGUGCUCGAGUGGCGAACGGGUGAGUAACACGUGAGUAACCUGCCCUUGACUUUGGGAUAACUUCAGGAAACUGGGGCUAAUACCGUAUAGCAUACCCUGCUGCAUGGUGGGGGUUGGAACGUUUCGGCGGUUGGGGAUGGACUCGCGGCUUAUCAGCUUGUUGGUGGGGUAGUGGCUUACCAAGGCUUUGACGGGUAGCCGGCCUGAGAGGGUGACCGGCCACAUGGGGACUGAGAUACGGACCAGACUCCUACGGGAGGCAGCAGUGGGGAAUAUUGCACAAUGGGCGGAAGCCUGAGGCAGCAACGCCGCGUGCGGGAUGACGGCCUUCGGGUUGUAAACCGCUUUCGCCUGUGACGAAGCGUGAGUGACGGUAAUGGGUAAAGAAGCACCGGCUAACUACGUG